AGGGUUUGAUCAUGGCUCAGGACGAACGCUGGCGGCGUGCCUAAUGCAUGCAAGUCGCACGCACCCUUCGGGGUGAGUGGCGCACGGCUGAGGAACACGUGGGAAUGUGCCCAUUGGUGGGGGAUAACGGGCCGAAAGGUCCGCUAAGCCCGCAUACGCUCGCAAGGGGAAAGGCGCAAGUCGCCGAUGGAGCAGCCCGCGGCCCAUCAGGUCGUUGGUGGGGUAAUGGCCUACCAAGCCGGUGACGGGUAGCUGGUCUGAGAGGACAGACAGCCAGACUGGGACUGAGACACGGCCCAGACUCCUACGGGAGGCAGCAGCAAGGAAUUUUCGUCAAUGGGCGCAAGCCUGAACGAGCAACGCCGCGUGCAGGAUGACGGCUUUCGGGUUGUAAACUGCUUUUUGGGGGGACGAUAAUGACGGUACCCCCGGAAUAAGCCCCGGCUCACUCUGUGCCAGCAGCCGCGGUAAUACAGAGGGGGCAAGCGUUGUCCGGACUUACUGGGUGUAAAGCGCAUGCAGGUGGCUGUGCAAGUAUGCUGUGAAAGCCCCGUGCUUAACACGGGGAGGCCAGUAUAGACUGCACGGCUCGAGGACUGCAGAGGGUAGGGGAAUUGCUGGUGUAGUGGUGAAAUGCGUAGAGAUCAGCAGGAAUACCAAUGCCGAAGGGACCUACCUGGGCAGUAUCUGACACUCAAGUGCGACAGCGUGGGGAGCGAACCGGAUUAGAUACCCGGGUAGUCCACGCCGUAAACGAUGGAUGCUCGGCGUUUGGGGGAGAAAUCCCCUGGGCGCCUCAGCUGACGCGUAAGCAUCCCACCUGGGAACUACGAGCG
Molecule: ribosomal RNA, 836 nt
Filed under: uncultured Kouleothrix sp.
Lineage: Bacteria; Bacillati; Chloroflexota; Chloroflexia; Chloroflexales; Roseiflexaceae
Description: bacterial SSU rRNA
Rfam family: Bacterial small subunit ribosomal RNA
Source: RNAcentral